Molecule: unclassified non-coding RNA, 200 nt
Filed under: soil metagenome
Description: partial contains internal transcribed spacer 2 and large subunit ribosomal RNA
Source: RNAcentral
CAUGCCUGUUCGAGCGUCAUUAUAACCACUCAAGCCUGGCUUGGUGUUGGGGUACGCGGUCCCGCGGCUCCUAAAAUCAGUGGCGGUGCAUCUGGCUCUAAGCGUAGUAAUUUUCUCGCUAUAGGGUCCGGUGAUGCUUGCCAGAACCCCAUUAUCUCACGGUUGACCUCGGAUCAGGUAGGGAUACCCGCUGAACUUAA